GAUGAACGCUAGCUACAGGCUUAACACAUGCAAGUCGAGGGGCAGCAUGGUCUUAGCUUGCUAAGGCCGAUGGCGACCGGCGCACGGGUGAGUAACGCGUAUCCAACCUGCCUUACACUCUUGGACAGCCUUCUGAAAGGGAGAUUAAUACAAGAUGUUAUCAUGAGUAAGCAUUUUCGCAUGAUUAAAGGUUUACCGGUGUAAGAUGGGGAUGCGUUCCAUUAGAUAGUAGGCGGGGUAACGGCCCACCUAGUCUUCGAUGGAUAGGGGUUCUGAGAGGAAGGUCCCCCACAUUGGAACUGAGACACGGUCCAUACUCCUACGGGAGGCAGCAGUGAGGAAUAUUGGUCAAUGGACGAGAGUCUGAACCAGCCAAGUAGCGUGAAGGAUGAAGGUUCUAUGGAUUGUAAACUUCUUUUAUACGGGAAUAAACGAAUCCACGUGUGGAUUUUUGCAUGUACCGUAUGAAUAAGGAUCGGCUAACUCCGUGCCAGCAGCCGCGGUAAUACGGAGGAUCCGAGCGUUAUCCGGAUUUAUUGGGUUUAAAGGGAGCGUAGAUGGGUUGUUAAGUCAGUUGUGAAAGUUUGCGGCUCAACCGUAAAAUUGCAAUUGAUACUGGCAGUCUUGAGUACAGUUGAGGUAGGCGGAAUUCGUGGUGUAGCGGUGAAAUGCUUAGAUAUCACGAAGAACUCCGAUUGCGAAGGCAGCUUACUAACCUGUAACUGACAUUGAUGCUCGAAAGUGUGGGUAUCAAACAGGAUUAGAUACCCUGGUAGUCCACACGGUAAACGAUGAAUACUCGCUGUAGGCGAUAUACAGUCUGCGGCCAAGCGAAAGCAUUAAGUAUUCCACCUGGGGAGUACGCCGGCAACGGUGAAACUCAAAGGAAUUGACGGGGGCCCGCACAAGCGGAGGAACAUGUGGUUUAAUUCGAUGAUACGCGAGGAACCUUACCCGGGCUUAAAUUGCAACCGAAUAUGGCGGAAACGCUAUAGCUAGCAAUAGCGGUUGUGAAGGUGCUGCAUGGUUGUCGUCAGCUCGUGCCGUGAGGUGUCGGCUUAAGUGCCAUAACGAGCGCAACCCUUGCCGAUAGUUACUAACAGGUCAUGCUGAGGACUCUGUCGGGACUGCCAUCGUAAGAUGUGAGGAAGGUGGGGAUGACGUCAAAUCAGCACGGCCCUUACGUCCGGGGCUACACACGUGUUACAAUGGGGGGUACAGAGGGCUGCUACCACGCAAGUGGAUGCCAAUCCCAAAAACCUCUCUCAGUUCGGAUUGAAGUCUGCAACCCGACUUCAUGAAGCUGGAUUCGCUAGUAAUCGCGCAUCAGCCACGGCGCGGUGAAUACGUUCCCGGGCCUUGUACACACCGCCCGUCAAGCCAUGGGAGCCGGGGGUACCUGAAGUGCGUAACCGCAAGGAGCGCCCUAGGGUAAAACUGGUGACUGGGGCUA
Molecule: ribosomal RNA, 1453 nt
Filed under: uncultured organism
Description: SSU rRNA
Rfam family: Bacterial small subunit ribosomal RNA
Source: RNAcentral